This 534-nucleotide long non-coding RNA is filed under the name Mytilus galloprovincialis (Mediterranean mussel). The record is from RNAcentral. Lineage: Eukaryota; Metazoa; Mollusca; Bivalvia; Mytilida; Mytilidae.
ACGCUCCUCUACUUGCAGAUUUGUUUUUAUAUUCCUAUGAAGCGGAUUUUAGCCAAGGGCUUGUACAGAAAGGAGAACAGAAAUUAGCCCAGUCUUUUAAUUUCACCUUUAGGUAUAUUGAUGAUGUACUGUCUCUUAAUAAUAAUAGAUUCAGUGAUCACUUACAUUUAAUAUAUCCAAGUGAACUUGAAAUUAAAGAUACUACCGACACAGAUAAAUCUGCUUCAUAUUUAUACCUUUUUUUCUCGAAAUGACUACUGAUGGUAGGUUGAAUACCAAAAUUUAUGACAAACGCGAUGAUUUUAAUUUUCCUAUAGUCAACUUUCCAUUUCUGUGUAGCAACAUCCCAGCGGCACAUGCAUAUGGAGUAUAUGUGUCUUAAUUGAUACGUUACUCUUGAGCUAGAUCAAAGUACGUUGAUGUUUUUGAAAGAGGAAUACUACUUUCUCAAAAGUUGCUAAGACAGGGCUAUUAAUCAAUCAAAUUAAGGUCAUCACUCAAGAAAUUUUACGGUCGCCAUCAUGAGCUGAUUGG